RNAcentral lists this ribosomal RNA (195 nucleotides) under uncultured Banisveld landfill bacterium BVB81. RNAcentral's name for it is "partial 16S ribosomal RNA". It matches the Rfam family "Bacterial small subunit ribosomal RNA", at positions 338 to 524 of the family's 1533-position model. The record is from RNAcentral.
CCUACGGGAGGCAGCAGUGGGGAAUUUUGCGCAAUGGGCGAAAGCCUGACGCAGCAACGCCGCGUGAGUGAUGAAGGCUUUCGGGUCGUAAAGCUCUGUCGAGGGGAAAGAAAUGUAUUUUGGUUAAUACCCUUAAUACUUGACGGUACCCCUAAAGGAAGCACCGGCUAACUCCGUGCCAGCAGCCGCGGUAAU